AGUGAACGCUGGCGGUAGGCCUAACACAUGCAAGUCGAACGGCAGCACAGUAAGAGCUUGCUCUUGCGGGUGGCGAGUGGCGGACGGGUGAGGAAUACAUCGGAAUCUACUUUUUCGUGGGGGAUAACGUAGGGAAACUUACGCUAAUACCGCAUACGACCUACGGGUGAAAGCAGGGGAUCUUCGGACCUUGCGCGAUUGAAUGAGCCGAUGUCGGAUUAGCUAGUUGGCGGGGUAAAGGCCCACCAAGGCGACGAUCCGUAGCUGGUCUGAGAGGAUGAGCAGCCACACUGGAACUGAGACACGGUCCAGACUCCUACGGGAGGCAGCAGUGGGGAAUAUUGGACAAUGGGCGCAAGCCUGAUCCAGCCAUACCGCGUGGGUGAAGAAGGCCUUCGGGUUGUAAAGCCCUUUUGUUGGGAAAGAAAAGCAGCAGGUUAAUACCCCGCUGUUCUGACGGUACCCAAAGAAUAAGCACCGGCUAACUUCGUG
Molecule: ribosomal RNA, 492 nt
Filed under: uncultured bacterium
Lineage: Bacteria
Description: partial 16S ribosomal RNA
Rfam family: Bacterial small subunit ribosomal RNA
Source: RNAcentral